RNAcentral lists this ribosomal RNA (497 nucleotides) under uncultured bacterium. RNAcentral describes it as "partial 16S ribosomal RNA". It matches the Rfam family "Bacterial small subunit ribosomal RNA", at positions 28 to 507 of the family's 1533-position model. The record is from RNAcentral.
GAUGAACGCUGGCGGCGUGCCUAAUACAUGCAAGUCGAGCGAACAGACGAGGAGCUUGCUCCUCUGACGUUAGCGGCGGACGGGUGAGUAACACGUGGAUAACCUACCUAUAAGACUGGGAUAACUUCGGGAGACCGGAGCUAAUACCGGAUAAUAUAUUGAACCGCAUGGUUCAAUAGUGAAAGACGGUUUUGCUGUCACUUAUAGAUGGAUCCGCGCCGCAUUAGCUAGUUGGUAAGGUAACGGCUUACCAAGGCAACGAUGCGUAGCCGACCUGAGAGGGUGAUCGGCCACACUGGAACUGAGACACGGUCCAGACUCCUACGGGAGGAAGCAGUAGGGAAUCUUCCGCAAUGGGCGAAAGCCUGACGGAGCAACGCCGCGUGAGUGAUGAAGGUCUUCGGAUCGUAAAACUCUGUUAUUAGGGAAGAACAAAUGUGUAAGUAACUAUGCACGUCUUGACGGUACCUAAUCAGAAAGCCACGGCUAACUACGUG